Molecule: small nucleolar RNA, 107 nt
Organism: Cephalotus follicularis
Lineage: Eukaryota; Viridiplantae; Streptophyta; Magnoliopsida; Oxalidales; Cephalotaceae
Rfam family: Plant small nucleolar RNA R71
About the family: R71 is a member of the C/D box family of snoRNAs containing the C (UGAUGA) and D (CUGA) box motifs.
Source: Rfam
AAACCAUGAUGAGGACACUCUAAGAGAAGAUCCUUAAAACGAUCCAUACACCUAGAAAAUGAUUCAUUGGGUUUUUAAAGAAACUGGAGAAUGUCGUUCCUAAGUUU